This 253-nucleotide ribosomal RNA is filed under the name uncultured bacterium. Its description in RNAcentral is "partial 16S ribosomal RNA". It matches the Rfam family "Bacterial small subunit ribosomal RNA", at positions 524 to 776 of the family's 1533-position model. The record is from RNAcentral.
UACGAAGGGGGCGGGCGUUGUUCGGAUUUACUGGGCGUAAAGGGCGCGUAGGCGGCCCUCCUAGUCGCGUGUGAAAGCCCCGGGCUCAACCUGGGAAUUGCGCGCGAAACGGGGGGGCUUGAGUUCGGGAGAGGAGCGUGGAAUUCCCAGUGUAGAGGUGAAAUGCGUAGAUAUCGAGAGGAACACCUGCGGCGAAGGCGGGUUGCUGGGCUGAUACUGACGCUGAGGCGCGAAAGCCAGGGGAGCGAACGGG